Molecule: ribosomal RNA, 1376 nt
Filed under: uncultured bacterium
Lineage: Bacteria
Description: bacterial SSU rRNA
Rfam family: Bacterial small subunit ribosomal RNA
Source: RNAcentral
GGCGUGCCUAAUACAUGCAAGUCGAACGCACUCUCGUUUAGAUUGAAGGAGCUUGCUCCUGAUUGAUAAACAUUUGAGUGAGUGGCGGACGGGUGAGUAACACGUGGGUAACCUGCCCUAAAGUGGGGGAUAACAUUUGGAAACAGGUGCUAAUACCGCAUAAAACCUAACACCGCAUGGUGUAGGGUUGAAAGAUGGUUUCGGCUAUCACUUUAGGAUGGACCCGCGGUGCAUUAGUUAGUUGGUGAGGUAAAGGCUCACCAAGACCGUGAUGCAUAGCCGACCUGAGAGGGUAAUCGGCCACACUGGGACUGAGACACGGCCCAGACUCCUACGGGAGGCAGCAGUAGGGAAUCUUCCACAAUGGACGAAAGUCUGAUGGAGCAACGCCGCGUGAGUGAAGAAGGUUUUCGGAUCGUAAAACUCUGUUGUUGGAGAAGAAUGUAUCUGAUAGUAACUGAUCAGGUAGUGACGGUAUCCAACCAGAAAGCCACGGCUAACUACGUGCCAGCAGCCGCGGUAAUACGUAGGUGGCAAGCGUUGUCCGGAUUUAUUGGGCGUAAAGCGAGCGCAGGCGGUUUCUUAAGUCUGAUGUGAAAGCCUUCGGCUCAACCGAAGAAGUGCAUCGGAAACUGGGAAACUUGAGUGCAGAAGAGGACAGUGGAACUCCAUGUGUAGCGGUGAAAUGCGUAGAUAUAUGGAAGAACACCAGUGGCGAAGGCGGCUGUCUGGUCUGUAACUGACGCUGAGGCUCGAAAGCAUGGGUAGCAAACAGGAUUAGAUACCCUGGUAGUCCAUGCCGUAAACGAUGAGUGCUAGGUGUUGGAGGGUUUCCGCCCUUCAGUGCCGCAGCUAACGCAUUAAGCACUCCGCCUGGGGAGUACGACCGCAAGGUUGAAACUCAAAGGAAUUGACGGGGGCCCGCACAAGCGGUGGAGCAUGUGGUUUAAUUCGAAGCAACGCGAAGAACCUUACCAGGUCUUGACAUCCUUUGACCACUCUAGAGAUAGAGCUUUCCCUUCGGGGACAAGGUGACAGGUGGUGCAUGGUUGUCGUCAGCUCGUGUCGUGAGAUGUUGGGUUAAGUCCCGCAACGAGCGCAACCCUUGUCGUUAGUUACUACCAUUAAGUUGAGGACUCUAGCGAGACUGCCUGGGUUAACCAGGAGGAAGGUGGGGAUGACGUCAAAUCAUCAUGCCCCUUAUGUGUAGGGCUACACACGUGCUACAAUGGCUGGUACAGAGAGAUGCAAUACCGCGAGGUGGAGCCAAACUUAAAAACCAGUCUCAGUUCGGAUUGUAGGCUGAAACUCGCCUACAUGAAGCUGGAGUUACUAGUAAUCGCGAAUCAGAAUGUCGCGGUGAAUACGUUCCCGGG